Molecule: ribosomal RNA, 198 nt
Filed under: uncultured bacterium
Lineage: Bacteria
Description: partial 16S ribosomal RNA
Rfam family: Bacterial small subunit ribosomal RNA
Source: RNAcentral
ACGCUCGACACCUACGGGAGGCAGCAGUGGGGAAUAUUGCACAAUGGGGGAAACCCUGAUGCAGCGACGCCGCGUGAGCGAAGAAGUAUUUCGGUAUGUAAAGCUCUAUCAGCAGGGAAGAUCAUGACGGUACCUGACUAAGAAGCUCCGGCUAAAUACGUGCAAGCAGCCGCGGUAAUCUGAGCGGGCUGGCAAGGC